This is a non-coding RNA of Lentinula aciculospora, 108 nucleotides long. NCBI's taxonomy places the organism in Eukaryota, Fungi, Basidiomycota, Agaricomycetes, Agaricales, Omphalotaceae. The record is from the annotation of a GenBank genome assembly.
GCUGGAAUGGCCGAGUCGUUAAGGCGAUAGAUUUGAAUAAUGUUCGUGAUCGAAUGGUCAAAUAUCUAUUACUCUCUGAGUGCGUAGGUUCAAAUCCUGCUUCCAGCG